GAGUUUGAUCAUGGCUCAGGACGAACGCUGGCGGCGUGCCUAAUACAUGCAAGUAGAACGCUGAAGAAAGAACCUGGCUCUUCGUGUAAGAUUUGCAAAGGUGAGAAUAACGCAUAUGUCACCCGCGUGGUCGCGGGAGAUCACUAGUGAACAAUAUCUCUAACACCACAAGAAUUGAAGUAUCACGAGAUUUUUCAUUGAAGUGUGCUUGUGCCUCUCCACCAUAGGGACCCGUUUUGUAAUAUCUAUUGGGGGGGGUAACCGCUCCCCAGCGACAAUACACAUCCCACACCAGAGGGGGAUAUCCGCCACUGUGACACAGACACACCGCCCACACUCCCAGGGGGCGCCACUAUGGGGACUCCUCCGCUGUGGAGAGAUCUCACACAGAACCACCCCGCGUGUGUAAAAAGUGUUUUGAUAUCAUAACUCUCUUUUGUAAGAAAAAAAAGAGUGAGAGAGUGAAAUUUUCACUGUGACACUGUCUCAUACCAAAAGGGCAGCGCUAACUAUGUGCCCACCCCCGCUGUAAUACAUGUGUCCCGAGCUUUCUCCAGAUUUAGUGCGUAUAACGCGAGCACGCGCUGAUAUAUAUCUCAGAUUUUAAGCGCUGUGGCUUAACCAUAGUACGCUUUGGAAACUGUUUAACUUGAGUGCAAGAGGGGAGAGUGGAAUUCCAUGUGUAGCGGUGAAAUGCGUAGAUAUAUGGAGGAACACCGGUGGCGAAAGCGGCUCUCUGGCUUGUAACUGACGCUGAGGCUCGAAAGCGUGGGGAGCAAACAGGAUUAGAUACCCUGGUAGUCCACGCCGUAAACGAUGAGUGCUAGGUGUUAGACCCUUUCCGGGGUUUAGUGCCGCAGCUAACGCAUUAAGCACUCCGCCUGGGGAGUACGACCGCAAGGUUGAAACUCAAAGGAAUUGACGGGGGCCCGCACAAGCGGUGGAGCAUGUGGUUUAAUUCGAAGCAACGCGAAGAACCUUACCAGGUCUUGACAUCCCUCUGACCACUCUAGAGAUAGAGUUUUCCUUCGGGACAGAGGUGACAGGUGGUGCAUGGUUGUCGUCAGCUCGUGUCGUGAGAUGUUGGGUUAAGUCCCGCAACGAGCGCAACCCCUAUUGUUAGUUGCCAUCAUUCAGUUGGGCACUCUAGCGAGACUGCCGGUAAUAAACCGGAGGAAGGUGGGGAUGACGUCAAAUCAUCAUGCCCCUUAUGACCUGGGCUACACACGUGUUACAAUGGCUGGUACAACGAGUCGCGAGCCGGUGACGGCAAGCUAAUCUCUUAAAGCCAGCCUCAGUUCGGAUUGUAGGCUGCAACUCGCCUACAUGAAGUCGGAAAUCGCUAGUAAUCGCGGAUCAGCGCGCCGCAGUGAAAUACGUUUCCCGGCCCUUCCCCCACCGCCCGUC
RNAcentral lists this ribosomal RNA (1407 nucleotides) under uncultured bacterium. Its description in RNAcentral is "partial 16S ribosomal RNA". It matches the Rfam family "Bacterial small subunit ribosomal RNA". The record is from RNAcentral.